UAGGGAAUCUUCCACAAUGGACGAAAGUCUGAUGGAGCAACGCCGCGUGAGUGAAGAAGGGUUUCGGCUCGUAAAACUCUGUUGUUAAAGAAGAACAUAUCUGAGAGUAACUGUUCAGGUAUUGACGGUAUUUAACCAGAAAGCCACGGCUAAAUACGUGUCAG
Molecule: ribosomal RNA, 164 nt
Filed under: uncultured bacterium
Lineage: Bacteria
Description: partial 16S rRNA
Rfam family: Bacterial small subunit ribosomal RNA
Source: RNAcentral